ACGGAAGGCAGCAGUGGGGAAUAUUGGGCAAUGGGGGAAACCCUGACCCAGCAACGCCGCGUGAAGGAAGAAGGCUUUCGGGUUGUAAACUUCUUUUAAGAGGGACGAAGGAGUGACGGUACCUCUUGAAUAAGCUACGGCUAACUACGUGCCAGCAGCCGCGGUAAUACGUAGGUAGCAAGCGUUGUCCGGAUUUACUGGGUGUAAAGGGCGCGUAGGCGGGGAUGCAAGUCAGAUGUGAAAUGCAGAGGCUUAACCUCUGAGCUGCAUUUGAAACUGUAUCUCUUGAGUACUGGAGAGGUUGGCGGAAUUCCUAGUGUAGCGGUGAAAUGCGUAGAUAUUAGGAAGAACACCGGUGGCGAAGGCGGCCAACUGGACAGCAACUGACGCUGAGGCGCGAAAGCGUGGGGAGCAAACAGGAUUAGAUACCCUGGUA
Molecule: ribosomal RNA, 436 nt
Filed under: uncultured Oscillospiraceae bacterium
Lineage: Bacteria; Bacillati; Bacillota; Clostridia; Eubacteriales; Oscillospiraceae
Description: partial 16S ribosomal RNA
Rfam family: Bacterial small subunit ribosomal RNA
Source: RNAcentral